UGGGUAGGAGACUGGUGUGGGGGGAAGGGACGCUCAUCACGAUAAUAUACCACAAAUGGGUAAAUGGAGGUGGUUAGAAUAUGAAUGAGUGCUUGGUUGCUUUUUUGAUGCCAUUAAGUUAUGGUUUGCCGACUGCAUUGUGUUGAUCCAGACCGUUUAAGGAGCCAUGUUGCCAAGUGGUGGAUAUUUCAAGAGCUUGACGUGCCCAUAUUUCAAGAGUGGAUACUGUGAGCGGCCUCACUGCCACUUCCGUCAUGUUAGUGAACCAGUCAGCGGUGUCAGGGAGCCUGAAACACCAAAUGAGGAAGCAGUCUCAGCUUCAGCAGCUGCCGCCCCAGCUGUGGACAGCGCGGUGCUGCAGGAGAUGGUGUCGCGGGCUGUGCGCGAGGCACUGCGGAGCGGCGCCGCCGCCGCACUCACAGCCGACACCAUCGCCAGCAGUCUGGAGUUGUCGGGCUCGCUGGCGGCGGCUCCCGCUCCGGCUCCGACUCCGGCUCC
Molecule: long non-coding RNA, 498 nt
Organism: Pollicipes pollicipes
Lineage: Eukaryota; Metazoa; Arthropoda; Thecostraca; Pollicipedomorpha; Pollicipedidae
Exons: 3
Source: RefSeq, a predicted model, not a curated record